GAGGAAAGCUGGCGGCGUGCCUAAUACAUGCAAGUCGAGCGAACGGACGAGAAGCUUGCUUCUCUGAUGUUAGCGGCGGACGGGUGAGUAACACGUGGAUAACCUACCUAUAAGACUGGGAUAACUUCGGGAAACCGGAGCUAAUACCGGAUAAUAUUUUGAACCGCAUGGUUCAAAAGUGAAAGACGGUCUUGCUGUCACUUAUAGAUGGAUCCGCGCUGCAUUAGCUAGUUGGUAAGGUAACGGCUUACCAAGGCAACGAUGCAUAGCCGACCUGAGAGGGUGAUCGGCCACACUGGAACUGAGACACGGUCCAGACUCCUACGGGAGGCAGCAGUAGGGAAUCUUCCGCAAUGGGCGAAAGCCUGACGGAGCAACGCCGCGUGAGUGAUGAAGGUCUUCGGAUCGUAAAACUCUGUUAUUAGGGAAGAACAUAUGUGUAAGUAACCGUGCACAUCUUGACGGUACCUAAUCAGAAAGCCACGGCUAACUACGUG
This 497-nucleotide ribosomal RNA is filed under the name uncultured bacterium. Its description in RNAcentral is "partial 16S ribosomal RNA". It matches the Rfam family "Bacterial small subunit ribosomal RNA", at positions 28 to 507 of the family's 1533-position model. The record is from RNAcentral.